RNAcentral lists this long non-coding RNA (699 nucleotides) under Homo sapiens (human). RNAcentral describes it as "HSALNT0298291". The record is from RNAcentral. Lineage: Eukaryota; Metazoa; Chordata; Mammalia; Primates; Hominidae.
AUGCGCAGCGCUGCUGGCCCGCUCUCUGAGGAGCUUUCAAUACUUUGGGGUCAAGUUUGAGGCAGUUGUAACUGUACUGAGUUUAGUUUUGCUAAUAAUGGUAUUCUACGUGUGUCAGCCUCGUGUGGACUUCUGUAAUGACUAAUGGAUAUGUUUAUAUCCUGAGCAUUUGCUGUAGGAAUUUUAAAUGCAAUCCCAAAACUCAAGAUUACCUUAUUUGGAGAAAUAUUCGUGUUACUAUGUUUAAAAUUUAAUAGAACCAUAUUUUACCUUUCACUUUGGGACUCGCACAGGAUGUUUGCAGCUCUUGAUAUACAGGAACUAGAACGUGUCUUUUAAGAGCAUGCGGUUUUAUAAUUACGUGGAAGUAUGCUACGCAAGGGAAAAAAGCCUCUUGCUAAUGCUUUGAUGUCUUAAAUGGUACAUCCAAACUUAAGUGAAAUAGAGCUGUGAGGACAUUUUGGGGAGAAGUGACCUAGAUAAGCACUGACUGUUGCAUUCAUCUCUCUUCUUGCUGAUUGUGAUGAUUUCCUGUGCCAUAGCCAUUCAAAGUCUGCCAAAAAAGAGUGGAGAAGGAGCAGUUUUUCCAUUUCCCUGAAAAGAAUUGAGUGAAGUUGACAGCAGGAUUGCAGAAGUGGGAGGACCCAAGAGCUAUGCCACGUGUACCUCCUGCCUGAUGUCUUCCCAGAUGUAUACUUC